RNAcentral lists this unclassified non-coding RNA (354 nucleotides) under soil metagenome. RNAcentral's name for it is "partial contains 5.8S ribosomal RNA, internal transcribed spacer 2, and large subunit ribosomal RNA". The stretch from base 1 to 120 matches the Rfam family "5.8S ribosomal RNA", at positions 35 to 154 of the family's 154-position model. The record is from RNAcentral.
GAUGAAGAACGCAGCGAAAUGCGAUAAGUAGUGUGAAUUGCAGAAUUCAGUGAAUCAUCGAAUCUUUGAACGCGCAUUGCGACUCCUGGUAUUCCGGGAGGCAUGCCUGUUCGAGCGUCAUUAAAAUCACUCAAGCUUAGGUUUACCUAUUGCUUGGUCUUGGAGAUGGAAGCCAAUUUAUUGGAAUCCUCUUCGAAAUUCAAUGGCGAAGACCCUUGCUCUCCCAAGUGUAGUAAUAACUUAUGUCACUGAAGGAAGCGAGAAAUCUUCUGCCGUAACCCCCAUAUUUUCUAUGAUUGACCUCGGAUCAGGUAGGGAUACCCGCUGAACUUAAGCAUAUCAAUAAGCGGAGGA